Molecule: ribosomal RNA, 1150 nt
Filed under: Bacillus atrophaeus Detrick-2
Lineage: Bacteria; Bacillati; Bacillota; Bacilli; Caryophanales; Bacillaceae
Description: bacterial LSU rRNA
Rfam family: Bacterial large subunit ribosomal RNA
Source: RNAcentral
AAGUUCCUGAUUCCACACUGCCAAGAAAAGCCUCUAGCGAGGUGAGAGGUGCCCGUACCGCAAACCGACACAGGUAGGCGAGGAGAGAAUCCUAAGGUGAUCGAGAGAACUCUCGUUAAGGAACUCGGCAAAAUGACCCCGUAACUUCGGGAGAAGGGGUGCUCUGUUAGGGUGCAAGCCCGAGAGAGCCGCAGUGAAUAGGCCCAGGCGACUGUUUAGCAAAAACACAGGUCUCUGCGAAGCCGUAAGGCGAAGUAUAGGGGCUGACGCCUGCCCGGUGCUGGAAGGUUAAGAGGAGCGCUUAGCGUAAGCGAAGGUGCGAAUUGAAGCCCCAGUAAACGGCGGCCGUAACUAUAACGGUCCUAAGGUAGCGAAAUUCCUUGUCGGGUAAGUUCCGACCCGCACGAAAGGCGCAACGAUCUGGGCACUGUCUCAACGAGAGACUCGGUGAAAUUAUAGUACCUGUGAAGAUGCAGGUUACCCGCGACAGGACGGAAAGACCCCGUGGAGCUUUACUGCAGCCUGAUAUUGAAUGUUGGUACAGCUUGUACAGGAUAGGUAGGAGCCUUGGAAACCGGAGCGCCAGCUUCGGUGGAGGCAUCGGUGGGAUACUACCCUGGCUGUAUUGACCUUCUAACCCGCCGCCCUUAUCGGGCGGGGAGACAGUGUCAGGUGGGCAGUUUGACUGGGGCGGUCGCCUCCUAAAGAGUAACGGAGGCGCCCAAAGGUUCCCUCAGAAUGGUUGGAAAUCAUUCGCAGAGUGUAAAGGCACAAGGGAGCUUGACUGCGAGACCUACAAGUCGAGCAGGGACGAAAGUCGGGCUUAGUGAUCCGGUGGUUCCGCAUGGAAGGGCCAUCGCUCAACGGAUAAAAGCUACCCCGGGGAUAACAGGCUUAUCUCCCCCAAGAGUCCACAUCGACGGGGAGGUUUGGCACCUCGAUGUCGGCUCAUCGCAUCCUGGGGCUGUAGUCGGUCCCAAGGGUUGGGCUGUUCGCCCAUUAAAGCGGUACGCGAGCUGGGUUCAGAACGUCGUGAGACAGUUCGGUCCCUAUCCGUCGCGGGCGCAGGAAAUUUGAGAGGAGCUGUCCUUAGUACGAGAGGACCGGGAUGGACGCACCGCUGGUGUACCAGUUGUUCUGCCAAGGGCAU